GCAUAACGCGAAGAACCUUACCUGGCCUUGACAUUGAUAGAAUCUGCUAGAGAUAGCGGAGUGCCCUUCGGGGAGCUUGAGAACAGGUGCUGCACGGCUGUCGUCAGCUCGUGUCGUGAGAUGUUGGGUUAAGUCCCGCAACGAGCGCAACCCUCGUCACUAGUUACUAACGGUUCGGCCGAGGACUCUAGUGAGACUGCCUUCGUAAGGAGGAGGAAGGUGAGGACGACGUCAAGUCAUCAUGGCCCUUACGGCCAGGGCGACACACGUGCUACAAUGGGAUGUACAAUGAGACGCAAUACCGCGAGGUGGAGCAAAUCUAUAAAACAUCUCUCAGUUCGGAUUGUAGUCUGCAACUCGACUACAUGAAGCUGGAAUCACUAGUAAUCGUAGAUCAGCCAUGCUACGGUGAAUACGUUCCCGGGUCUUGUACACACCG
RNAcentral lists this ribosomal RNA (439 nucleotides) under uncultured bacterium. Its description in RNAcentral is "bacterial SSU rRNA". It matches the Rfam family "Bacterial small subunit ribosomal RNA", at positions 954 to 1392 of the family's 1533-position model. The record is from RNAcentral.